Mustela erminea (ermine) is the source of this 1350-nucleotide long non-coding RNA. RefSeq lists it as uncharacterized. Lineage: Eukaryota; Metazoa; Chordata; Mammalia; Carnivora; Mustelidae. The transcript is spliced from 3 exons. The record is from RefSeq and is a predicted model, not a curated record.
UUGUGCGUUUGGCUCCAGCCUGCACCACCCGCACGUCACCUGCUGAGACCCCGGGUUCACCAGCCCGGGUCUCCAGCCUCCGGGAGGGACUGCGAGCGCGCCCCCCGGCCUCCGCGGGGGCUUCUGGGAGUUGUGGUCCAGCCGGUAGGCCCCGCGUCCUUUAGCGCGGGGGCACCAGCCGCGCGCGGGCCUUCUGGGUCUGCAGCGCGGGUAGGCUGGGUUGGUUCCGGAACGCAGCACAUGUAGGUCUCGUGGCGGCCUCGGUGCCCAAGACCUCCAGACGGACGCCCAGAGAGAUGUUCCUAUGAGACCACCUUCACCUCUGACUCAGAGGGCUUUUCCAAAAGUGAGUCAAGAGAUGGGUUAUUAGAAGGAUGGGCAGGUUGUUCUGGACACCAGGCUAAGCCAGACCCUCCAUGGAUUGCCAGAGAACUGCCCCCACUUUGCAUCUAAGAAGUCCUAGAGCUCAAAGAGGUGAGGUUGGAUCUGCACAGGCUGGCUAUGAGGAUUUAUGGCAUGUGACUCAAUUCCCAUUUCUCCCAGCUCCCUAUUCUGCCUUCUUUGGACUCUGCUGGCCCAAAGUGAUCUGUAAAAAGAGGAGAAAAUGGCCCUCAAGUUCCUGGCAGCAAGACACCCAGCGAGUGGGAUGUAACCUCUUUCGUGCAGUAAUCCCCGUCCCUAGUCAGGUGACGUGUGUUUGUUCACUGCCUUGCAGAGCCCAUCAGGACUCUAAGACAAACAUGAAACACAGCACAACUUUAAGAUACUCCAGAGGAAAGCCCACUCUCCCUCCUCCGUGCACUCACCCUACCCCAUGACCACAUCAGAACUGUGGCACACCUUAACCUUCCAUUAAUUUAGGUCACAAUUUAGGUCACAAAUGGUCCAGUAUCUUUUCAAGCCCCAUUGUCUACUUUGGACACUGAGAAGUGCUGUCCUUCCUUGAGGGCUUUGUAGGCCUUGUUAAGGUUUUGGGUUUUUACUGCACUGGAUUUUAAAAUUUAAAUGGCACCAAAUUUACAGAAGAACUGCAAUAAUAGUACAAAGAACACCAGUAUUGCCUUUACUCAUAUUCAUCAAUUGCCAGGGUUUUUUUGGCCACAGUUACUUUAUCAUUGCAUCUCUAUGUAUUUAUCAUUUUCUGAAUCAUUUGAGGGUAAGUUGUAGACAUCAUGUCUUUCACCUCUAAUUACUUUGGCACACAUCUUCUAUAUGCAAGAACAGCCCCUUAAAUGACCAUAGUAUAAUUUAGAAAAUUUAACACUGAUUCAGUACUAUUGUCUGAUCUCCAACCCAUAAUUAAAAUUUGCCAGUUCUCUUAAUUACUUUCUUUACGGCUUUUUUCCCCAG